Rosa rugosa (rugosa rose) is the source of this 3819-nucleotide RNA transcript. It is a transcript of the gene named acyl-coenzyme A thioesterase 2, chloroplastic-like, with no coding region annotated. NCBI's taxonomy places the organism in Eukaryota, Viridiplantae, Streptophyta, Magnoliopsida, Rosales, Rosaceae. The record is from RefSeq and is a predicted model, not a curated record. The transcript has 3 exons.
CCCAUAUUUACGGAGGCCGCGAACCAUAAUUAAUACUUGACCAAAUCUUAAACUACCAAAACGGAAUCAAGUCAAUUCCAUACACUGUAUUUCCCCAGAAAUCAAAAUUCCAAGACCCCCAAGAAACUCCAUGGACCCAAAUUCAUCUCCUUCCAAUUCCAAUUCCAACACGACCAUUCCGGUAGUGGCAACCCUCCCCGCUUUCGGGUCGGACUCUUUGACCCGGAAGCCCAUCAGCUUGUGGCCCGGAAUGUUCCACUCGCCGGUGACGCAGGCACUGUGGGAAGCGAGGUCUCACAAGUUCGAGAGGCUCUUGGACCCACCAGCAGACGCUCCUCCGCAGAGCGAAUUGCUGAACAAGACUCCGUCUCAGAGCAGGACUACAAUUCUGUACAAUUUCUCUACUGAUUUUAUACUGAGGGAGCAGUACAGGGAUCCUUGGAAUGAGGUCCGAAUUGGGAAACUGCUUGAAGACCUUGAUGCUUUAGCUGGAACCAUUUCUGUCAAGGUUGAUUUUCCAGUCUUGGAGAGGCUAGAAAUUGGUGGCAGCCUUAACUUGAAAGAGAGAUGGAACAACCUUUGUCUGGGGAAAAAGCGCAAAAGUGAAAUCAAGCUCAAAAGUUCUUGAUGCAGAACACAAAGGAAAGAUCAACAAGUGCGAGAUUCGGAGUGCGCUAUUCCACAUGGGAGUUGACAUGGAUGUUCUUCCCGUUUCAGGUUAUUCUUGAAUUCAUUGCUCUGGCUCUAAUUCUAGGAUUAUUCACAUAUGUGCUCUUUCUUUUUGCCAAGUAUAUAGUGGAUUCUGCAGACAUUAAUUGAACUUUUCUUUCAUUUGGUUACCUAAGUGUUUAGCUUGUGGAAAUUUUGAAAGAGGUAGUGCUCUAUCUACAUUAGGAGUCUUAAGGAUCCAUGUGGAAGAGACUGUUGAUCCUAUUGAGUCACAUUCAUUAGGACACAUUUUUCAGUUAUAUAGAGCACAUUGUUAAUACUUUCUAGUAUCCUGUUUGUUUUGUGUACUAUUGUUAGUGCUCACCUUCAUAUACUUCACUCUUGUAUUCUCAGUGCUAGGUGUGUGAACUUAACAUUUUGGCUAUAUUAUUGCAUCAGGGUAGCAAGGAUUAAGCUCACUGUUCAGGACCAAAUUACUUAAUCAUCUGUCUCCCUUUGGUGUUUGUCUUUGACGAAACGUUUUUUUUCCUUUAUUAAUAGUCUUGAAAUUUAAGAGAAACUGAACCUCCACUAAACAUUCCCUGUAAUGUCUUCGAGUCAUAAAUCUAGAUCUUAUCUACAUGUCACGACGAGGGAAAUUGGCUUCCGGGUAAUAUCUUGCUAUAGAAUUUAGUGAUGGUUUGCACUCAUAUCUGAAAAACAGACAUGCAACCUCUGUUUGGAAAACUUUUAAGGAUUUAGGUAUGCAUUAUGGUUAAAAAUGUUUUAGAAUCUGUGAAAAGAUACACAUGUUUUCAAGUGCACACACAAGGUUGAGGUAAAUGUUUGUGCCUGACCUCUAAACGACAUCCUUAAGGCAUUGGGUACUUUCCAUGCUGAAAGGAAGGUUGAAGUGUCAAAUAUAUUAGAUCCCUAUAGGUGCCUUUUCAUCAUGUAAAAUUUCCUUUUUAAUUAGUGCAGAACUUAUACCCUUAAAAAUGGGUUCUUGGACCCAUUAGAGUAGUCUGCAUAUGCUGAGACAACAUGUGCAGCCAGCACUAUAUCACAGGUCUGAUGGUUCCAGUCAGUAUCUCCACCAUUUAGUCAGACUGAUAGUAACAGAAGAACUGAUAUUGAUGAGCGUAGCAACUUCACCAACUCUCUCCUCUCGUUUUCUGGAAUUGCUAAUCUCAGCCCAAAUUACAUUGAGAGUUUCCAUGUUACCGAAGGCACGAAUCAGGAAUUCUGACAAGUUUCACUUAUAAUGAUUGAACUUUUCUCUGUUGCAUUACUAAGGUGUGCAUAUUUUGAGUGAUUUCAACAUCACUUGUGUGAGUGAAGGUUCUAGGCACAUAAUCUCUAUGUGCAGAUGCUCGGUCUUUUGGUCACAUACUCAAAUGCUUUAUAUUAUGAAAGAGAUGUUUUUAUGUCAGCAACAGAAGCCCAAGCUCAUGGAAUUGUUGUCUUGUAGCGACUGAAUAAAAAAGAAAAAGAACAAGGAUUUCACAUGAAUUCGUGAUUUGUUAUUUUAUCUUCUUACGGAUUUAAUAUUCUAUUUAUUAAUUUCUUAAUAUAGAAAUUAAAAAUAUAGAAUAGUUUAUGGAUUGUGAUUGAGUGAAUGCAUAUAUUUCAGAACAGAGAGCACUUUCCAUUUCUAAAUAAUGAAACCCUUCUGUAAUAUUUCUUGGACCCUAGUUUCUUGCUGUAGUUAUCAUUUGUAUUUGAAGUUGAUAACUUCUUAAUAAUACAUUGUAGCAAGAUAGAAUGUCAAUGGGUCUCAACCGACAAUGGUGGUGAUGGAUGGGAUCCUACAUGACGAAUGGAUGGUUCUGUGAUGUGUGAGAUUGUAUGUCAAAACAUGAAUUAUCCAUCAUACAAGGUUCCUUCUCAUUCUGUAUAUCAACUUCUCAGAAAUUUUAUACUUUUCAGUGUUUUUCUUUUACUCGCUUGGUUAAUGUUUAUGAGCUCUCAUUUUUGUGAUUGAAUGACUAUUCAGCCAUGUGGGUUAUGUUUUGCUGCUUAAUUUGUUUCACAUUUCUACAAAUUCUGGGAAUUUAGGCAUUUGUUUAUUGGUUCCCACUUCAGCCUGAGGACCCUGUUAAUUAGUUACUGUUGCAUAAGACCUCAACCAACAAAGCUUACUACCCAAAGGAACAGAAGAUUGAUAGCACAAGUACAGAGAAAAUUGUCUAAUAAUUGUUUAGCGAACAAAUUCACAUGUUUCAAAUGCAGUGCGAUCUUUGAAAGUGAGUGUUAAGCAACACUGAAAAUAUAAGAAUUAAUUUCAAACCUUUUUUGACGGUUCCGGUUCAUUUUUACAUUCGUUAUGAACUGUUGGGAUUGAGGAUGGCACUAUGGAUCAUUUAAGCACAGCAUGACGGUUUCACUCUUGGUUAGUGGAUUAGGGGCCAUUGGGAAAUUGUAAAUAUUCCAGUUUGCUCGCCUCCUUAUGUAUUUUUUGAUGGUAUUUGUUCCUGUCAGUUGCUAGCAACAGGAGAACACAUGUUCCUGUACUUUCAAAUUACAGAUUAGUUAGUUUCCUGGAAAGUCAAAUGAGAGAGUUCAUUAUCUGUUUUGUAAUUUUUCUUCCUCUUAUUGCCAUCAGACAUCAUUUGUCGAUGACUGGGUGUAUGCUUUAAGUUUUCUGACCUUCUGAUCUUGUGCAUUGCAGUUGUUUGUCUUGGGAGCGGUUUGGCGCUUUUUGGCAAAUGUUAAGGACCUAAACGCCCACUAGCAAAGAAAAGAGGAGACUCUGCAGAAGGCUGAUGAGAUACUUGGGACAAAGAAUAAGGACCUAUACAGUAUAUUGGAAGGAUUGAUCAGUCAUAACGUCUAUAGAACCCUAUACCCCAUAUGUGAAGGGUUGAUAACAGUCCGUUGAACUCAUGUCGAUUGAAGCCUUUGUAAAUUCAAUCCAUUUUUCAUGUAACUAAACUGCAGCAAGUCCAUUCUUUCAAUCCCUGUAACUGUACAAGUAGCAACUUUGAGAGAAUGUUAGCAAAUGACUUGUUCUAACUUCUUCACAAGAUUUGAGAAGUUGGAAAUAAGUCAUUUGAGGGUAAGAAAUUGCUUCCUGUAGGGCAGAACUUUCUUCUUUUCAGAUCCAAAAUUAGAAAUGAUAACAUUUCAAGUUCAUGUUAAUUACUUCAUAGUCUAUAUGUCUAAAAGAAG